GUCUAAUUAGUAUAGUGGUCAGUACACCACAUUGUGGCUGUGGAAACCCGAGUUCGAUUCUCGGAUUGGACA
Ectocarpus siliculosus is the source of this 72-nucleotide non-coding RNA. Lineage: Eukaryota; Phaeophyceae; Ectocarpales; Ectocarpaceae. The record is from Rfam.